Molecule: non-coding RNA, 113 nt
Organism: Acanthosepion pharaonis
Lineage: Eukaryota; Metazoa; Mollusca; Cephalopoda; Sepiida; Sepiidae
Source: the annotation of a GenBank genome assembly
UUACGGCCACAUCACGUUAAAUCACCGCUUCCCUUAUGAUCACCGAAGUUAAGCAACGUUGAGAUUGGUCGGUACGUAGAUAGGUGACCACUUGGGAAUACCAGGUGCUGUAA